This is a long non-coding RNA of Sinocyclocheilus anshuiensis, 470 nucleotides long. RefSeq lists it as uncharacterized. The transcript has 5 exons. Lineage: Eukaryota; Metazoa; Chordata; Actinopteri; Cypriniformes; Cyprinidae. The record is from RefSeq and is a predicted model, not a curated record.
ACUGAAUAGCUCCUUCAUGAAGGAAAUGGAAAAACAGAGUACAGCAGAGGCCAUACGCAUUGGAUUAGAUGGCAAACUGAUAUGUGGCCAAACAGGAACACACACAAGAAAAACUGACAACAGUCAACAGAAGUCCAGAAGUCCUCAGGCUCCAGUAAAGGGGGACAGUCUACUGACAGUGCUACUGUGGGUGGCUACUGUUUUUCAGUGGCAAUGUUUCCAAUUAAUGAGAAAAAUAAGGACAAAAUCAGACAGCUGUAUGCUGUUGAGAAGAGAGAGCAUGAUGUCAUUGCUAAAAUAUCUCGUUACGCCUCGCUGGAACUACGUGAUCUGAAAGUCUGUGCCCACCCGAUCUCUUGAAAGACACCAGUAGCCAACUGAUGCCAUGGCUAUAUGACAAUACAGUAAAUUGUCGGAUUGCACAAAUUGCCUCAGAAAACCAGAAUGUUGCAGCCUUGACAACUGACACA